CAAACCAACGCUGUCUGCAGUAAAAUAGAUAUGCUUUGUCAUACACUCUCUUCUCCUCAUACUCUGUCCUCAAGUGGACCGAGCUAUGAAGUCCAAAUUAACAUACAAGUGACAGAAAAACCUUUAGGCCAGGAUUCACUUCUACAUCUUUCCAGGAUUGAAGACCAGAGGUUUGAAAUUGCUCAGGCACACAUCAUCUCAACUCUAGCAUUGUGCUGAUGGGAUGGAAGGAUGUUCUACACAUCUUUCCUCUUCAUCUAGCCCUAUGAUGUCAGUCAGUGAAAUGAGAAAAAAUUACAUUACAUCACUUGCAAGUGAAAUAUGAAGAGAGGUGAAUGCAGCAGCAAAGGAUUCUGAAUGCAUCCUGUGCCUUACUGAGAGAUCCCUGGCCUAUAUAAAACCAUAGAAAAGUCUGGGUUGGAAGGGAUCUUUAAAGGACAUUUAGUCCAACCCCCUGGAAGGAGCAGGGUCAUCUUGAACUAGAUCAGGUCACUCAGAGCCCCAUCUAGCCUAGCCUUGAAUAUUUCCACGGACACGGCAUCUGCCACCUCUCUUUGAAUAGUCAAAGGCACAGACACUAUGGCAGGAGUAGAAAAACAGACCAGGCAUAAAGGGAUCCUUCUCUAAAUGUACCCUUCCAACUUCUCACAAUGUACAGCUCAGGGAAUUUCUGAUCCAGAUCUCAUAGCUGUGUGUUUCUGCUGAUGAACAUUUUCCUCAUGUUAAUUUGACUUCUUGCUUUCUGAACAAAAUGAUGCCAUGGAACCCUGCAGUAACAAGCUCAAUGGGUUAAUUAUACAUUUUGAACAAUGAUCAGGGCAUGAAAGUUUCUGGAAUCAAAGACCAUGAUUAAAGAAGAGGUAAAGAAAGAUGCAUUUUUUUCUUGAAAAUGUGUCAUAAUAUAUAUCAGUGUAAUUAAUUGAUUACAUUUUAUUCACACAGGUAGGCCUUUACUGCCUAAUAGAAACCAUAACACAACUAAAUGUUAUACAGACAGUACAAUUUUCAAAUUUCUCAAAAAGACUCAUGCUUUCAUAUUUUAUUUUGCAAAACUCCAUAAAGCUAAUUUUCCAUCUUCCAAAAAAUGCAAUUUCAUUUGAAGCAUGACAGUAUGGGAGAUCUUCCUAUGAAAUAGCCAGCAAAUGUUUUUGUUAAACUUCCUGCAAGACAAGAAAACACAAAUUAGGUUUGUAACUGUUCAUCAGUUAGAUUUUGAAUCUGCAAAAUACAAAAUAGCUAUUUGAAAUUCCGCCUUUAUAUUUCCUGCACAGAGUGCUUUUGUCUUUGACCUAUUUAAAAUAAAAAUUUCCCCUAUAAGCUGUAAAACA
Molecule: long non-coding RNA, 1328 nt
Filed under: Parus major (Great Tit)
Lineage: Eukaryota; Metazoa; Chordata; Aves; Passeriformes; Paridae
Description: lncRNA (ENSPMJG00000007576.1)
Source: RNAcentral